This 219-nucleotide ribosomal RNA is filed under the name Listeria monocytogenes. Its description in RNAcentral is "partial 16S ribosomal RNA". It matches the Rfam family "Bacterial small subunit ribosomal RNA", at positions 984 to 1205 of the family's 1533-position model. Lineage: Bacteria; Bacillati; Bacillota; Bacilli; Caryophanales; Listeriaceae. The record is from RNAcentral.
ACAUCCUUUGACCACUCUGGAGACAGAGCUUUCCCUUCGGGGACAAAGUGACAGGUGGUGCAUGGUUGUCGUCAGCUCGUGUCGUGAGAUGGUGGGUUAAGUCCCGCAACGAGCGCAACCCUUGAUUGUAGUUGCCAGCAUUUAGUUGGGCACUCUAAAGUGACUGCCGGUGCAAGCCGGAGGAAGGUGGGGAUGACGUCAAAUCAUCAUGCCCCUUAU